Molecule: long non-coding RNA, 2796 nt
Organism: Oncorhynchus tshawytscha (Chinook salmon)
Lineage: Eukaryota; Metazoa; Chordata; Actinopteri; Salmoniformes; Salmonidae
Source: Ensembl
AACACACUAACACACACACAUACAAACACACACACACACAAACACCCUGCAACCCAGGACUGGGAGAGCAGAGAGCAGGACUUAAAGAGGGAGAAAAAGAUGAGGGGUUUUAUGUGGGCUCCACCCCAUCAGGGUAUAGGGUGCCCAUUAUACCCCCUCUGUGGGGUCAGGGCUAGCCAGGUGGCUUCUGGGAAGGGUGUGGGAGCUAAGCAAACAAUAGAGCAGCACUUUUAACCCCCCUGAUAUCCCUCCACCCAGGCAGUCAGUCACAGAGAGGGAGAGAGUGGCAGUGGUAGUGUGAGUGAGUGAGUGAGUGAGAGAGAGUGAGAGAAAGUGAGAGAGAGAGACUGUAUCCCUUCAGUAAAGGGAUCACAGUAGCGAGGGCUGGCUUGAAUUUUCCACAGAUAGGACUUUACAACAUGAAGAGGUGUUAAUUAAACUGGAAGUACAGGCAAUCAGAUAUCCCAACCUGCUUACUGCUGCAGUUUCCGAGACAUUGAAGAAAGGUAAAGACAAGAGAGUCCCAGGUCUAGUUGAGUUUAACCCAGCCGCUGGCUAAAACAGCUCUAGGUACUGUAUUGUCUGCUCCCAGGGGCAGCAAGGGCCCCGGAGGCCCCCAAAUGGCCCAAACAGGUGGACUGGUGCUCUCAUUCUCAACUUUUAAAAAGCACAGGGACAUCAAAGCGCAUUGUCACUGUUUUUCAAGCAUCAUCUUUAGCAUUUCCUUAUUGUGAGUUUUUGAUUAUUAUCAUUUUUUGUAACAAAAUAGGUGUACAUUUUAAAGGAGGACAUUUGAAAACACAAAAAAGGAAGGCAAAAAAACAUCUGAAAAAAAAGCAGAAUCUAUUUAUGAUAGACACAGAGCACAGGUGUUGUCAGAAAGGCGGUAAUGAGAAGUUAACGUUAAUAUAUUAUGGUAUAAAAGUGCACAUUAUGCAAGCUAGGGUUUUGAUGACUUGAUAUCUAUUUCACCCAUAAUGUCCCACCUUUUCAUCAACUCCCACCCAAAUGGCUGCCUUUUUUCCAGAUAUUCAGGGCUAGGGCCUGGGAAGGGGACAGGGAGGGCAGCCUGGACGCAUGUCAAGAAGGGGAGAGGAGGUUGUUGGACCCAAAAUAGCAUAACCGGGUGCACGAGGCUGACCAGCAGUAUAUCCCACACUCCACUGUAGCAUCUCCCAAAGGACCAUGGGAAGAUUCCCACGAUUACCCUGUGCCCCCCCCCUUUCCCCCCACUACCACGUGGUAGUGUUUUCUCUGUGUGUGAGAGUGAGUGUGUGUGUAUACCUCUUCUUGAGCAAGUCCAGUGAGACAGCUAUUUGCCUGUUUAUUCACAUACGUGAAAACACUGACUAAAUAAAACGAGAACUAGAUUGUGACUUAGACCACACCCCAAACAUGUAUCUGCUCACUACCAACAUUCUCAUUAGUUCAUUAAGAACAUCAAAAUUUCACCGAAAAAGCCAAGCCUUGUAUGAUGCAAGGUUUGUGCCUCUAAGAGGCUACAAAAUCUGCAAUAUGCAAUUUUUCUUUAUUUUUUUAAGAAUUGAGAGAAACCUACACCUAUGGAAAGUGUUCUUAAACCACUGAGAGAUGUAACAACAAACAAAACAAAACAAAACUAGCAAAGUACGUCACACGAGCCUGCUGUUAGUUUUUCAUUUGUAGUAUUAUUUUAAACGUUUUUAUUUUUUUAUUUUUUACUGUGUGCCGUAGUUCCAAGGUAAACUGUGAAAAAAGAAACAUUUUCCAAAUGAAAUGCACCUGGACAGUUAUUUAAGAAAUAGCGAAAAACACUAGGAAUCACAAACAAAUUGCUGUUUAGUUGCUGUCUGUCUGCGGCAGAAUAUGACAAUCUUAUUAGUUUCUUUGAAUCUGAUGUCCUUAUCCUAGCUAACGUACAACUGAUAUCCUCCUAACAUUACUAGGGUAGAUUUUCUGUCUUGUUAUAUGGAUGAAAUAUCGCGGCAAUGUUGAGAGAAUGUUAGUAACCUGGCUAGGAAAAGUACUUCAGGCUACUGUAAAAUGCCUUGCUCGUAUUGGUCAGCCCUUGGUCACCUGACUCAGUAAUUUUGCACCGUUCUUCUGUAGGUAAGAAACUGUAAAUACAUUAAUGUUUGUAUUGUAUAUGGAUCCUGGGUUGUUACGAUAGCCUUAUUCACCUUUUUAGGAAAGUAAAUGAAAAAAAAAUGAAAAAACAGAAUACACUUCAGUAAAACAGAGCAUACUACUUUUUUUGGUAAAUAGCUUGUGUAAAUAUUGACAAGAACCCAAUAAAACAUUUUUUUUUAUAAACUCUUAAAGUAAGAUGUUUUGUAUAAAAUUUCAAUUUUUUGCUAUGUAUUUUAGCUAGCGCUCGUUGGAAAGCCCCGUGUCCUCCCACUCCCUCCCCUUUUGCACUGUUUCCAUGGAAAUUUGGUUUUAAAAAAAAUUGAGAAAAAGUUGCCAAACCGACUGCUGCAUAUUCGUGCCAUAAGUGUGUACCAUAAAUAUUUAUUGAAUUCGUUUUUUUUUUCUUCUGUUUUUGAUUUGAUUUCUGUCCAGUUUUUAAGUAACACAGUAUUAUGAUUGCGUUGUUCAUUUGUCUCCCUGGUUUCUUUAGUCUGUUUUGAUAGGUUUCCAGGUGGCUGUAUCUGUAGCCCCUCCCCUUGCAGUUUGAGAUGGCCAGACCGUUGAAAUGGUUAAACAUUCAAAAACAGAAAGAAAUUAAAGUGAGGAAAAAUGACACACAUUCCACCAGUCUGUUACGAACUGAAAAUGUUUUUCAAUAAAAUGUUUUUCCUAUGGACAUGCCGUCGG